UACGUAGGGUGCGAGCGUUAAUCGGAAUUACUGGGCGUAAAGCGUGCGCAGGCGGUUCGCUAAGACCGAUGUGAAAUCCCCGGGCUUAACCUGGGAACUGCAUUGGUGACUGGCAGGCUUUGAGUGUGGCAGAGGGAGGUAGAAUUCCACGUGUAGCAGUGAAAUGCGUAGAGAUGUGGAGGAAUACCGAUGGCGAAGGCAGCCUCCUGGGCCAACACUGACGCUCAUGCACGAAAGCGUGGGGAGCAAACAGG
Molecule: ribosomal RNA, 254 nt
Filed under: uncultured bacterium
Lineage: Bacteria
Description: partial 16S ribosomal RNA
Rfam family: Bacterial small subunit ribosomal RNA
Source: RNAcentral